This 100-nucleotide signal recognition particle RNA is filed under the name Flavobacteriales bacterium. Its description in RNAcentral is "signal recognition particle sRNA small type". It matches the Rfam family "Bacteroidales small SRP". Rfam says of the family: The non-coding component of the signal recognition particle in Bacteroides Lineage: Bacteria; Pseudomonadati; Bacteroidota; Flavobacteriia; Flavobacteriales. The record is from RNAcentral.
GGGCAAGUCUUAUACGACCAGCUCCCAAAGAACUCCCCCAGGAUCGGAAGGUAGCAAGGGUAUUUGGUUGUAGCGGUGCGAUGUAAGUAGCUUGCCCUUU